RNAcentral lists this ribosomal RNA (1094 nucleotides) under uncultured Candidatus Poseidoniales archaeon. Its description in RNAcentral is "bacterial SSU rRNA". It matches the Rfam family "Archaeal small subunit ribosomal RNA", at positions 313 to 1412 of the family's 1478-position model. The record is from RNAcentral. Lineage: Archaea; Methanobacteriati; Thermoplasmatota; Candidatus Poseidoniia; Candidatus Poseidoniales.
AAUCCAGACCCCACGGGGUGCAGCAGGCGCGAAAACUUGGCAAUGCGAGAAAUCGUGACCAGGGAANUCCAAGUGCGUAGGGUAAGANNACGCUUUUCUUGACUCUAAAAAGGUCUUGGAAUAAGGGGUGGGUAAGGACGGUGCCAGCCGCCGCGGUAAUACCGGCGCCUCAAGUGGUAGUCGCUUUUAUUGGGCCUAAAACGUCCGUAGCCGGUCUGGUGCAUUCGUGGGUAAAUCAACCCGCUCAACGGGUUGAAUUCUGCGAGCACGGCCAGACUUGGGACCGGGAGAGGUGUGGGGUACUUUCGGGGUAGGGGUAAAAUCCUGUCAUCCCGAAAGGACCACCUGUUGCGAAGGCGCCACACUAGAACGGAUCCGACGGUCAGGGACGAAACCUAGGGGCACGAACCGGAUUAGAUACCCGGGUAGUCCUAGGUGUAAACGCUGUGGACUUGAUGUUGGGGGUGCUCCGAGCUCCCUCAGUGUCGAAGCGAAGGUGAUAAGUCCACUGCCUGGGGAGUACGGUCGCAAGGCUGAAACUUAAAGGAAUUGGCGGGGGAGCACUGCAACCUGAGGAUUGUGCGGUUUAAUUGGAUUCAACGCCGGAAAACUCACCAUGGCCGACGGACAAAUGAAGGCCAGCGUAACGAGCUUGCUGGAUUGUUCGAGAGGUAUUGCAUGGCCGUCGUCAGUUCGUACCGCAAGGCGUUCUGUUAAGUCAGAUAACGAACGAGACCCUCAUCCCUAUUUGCCAGCUGCGUCGCAAGAUUCAGCGCACUAUAGGGAGACCGCUGUCGAUAAGGCAGAUGAAGGCGAGGGCAACGGUAGGUCAGUAUGAUCCGAAUGCCAUGGGCUACACGCGCAAUACAAAGGACGGGACAAUGGGCUGCAACUCCGAGAGGAACGACGCUAUCCCGAAACCCGUUCGUAGUUCGGAUUGAGGGCUGUAACUCGCCCUCAUGAAGCUGGAUUAGGUAGUAAUCGCGUCUCAAUAGGGCGCGGUGAAUAUGCCCCUGCUCCUUGCACACACCGCCCGUCAAACCAUCUUAGUUGGGGGUGGGUGAGGCUGCGUUUUAUGGCGUAUUCNAGCCUGC